Molecule: ribosomal RNA, 465 nt
Filed under: uncultured bacterium
Lineage: Bacteria
Description: bacterial SSU rRNA
Rfam family: Bacterial small subunit ribosomal RNA
Source: RNAcentral
CCUACGGGGCGCAGCAGUGGGGAAUAUUGCACAAUGGGCGCAAGCCUGAUGCAGCCAUGCCGCGUGUGUGAAGAAGGCCUUCGGGUUGUAAAGCAGUUUCAGCGAGGAGGAAGGCGGUGAGGUUAAUAACCUCAUCGAUUGACGUUACCCGCAGAAGAAGCACCGGCUAACUCCGUGCCAGCAGCCGCGGUAAUACGGAGGGUGCAAGCGUUAAUCGGAAUUACUGGGCGUAGAGCGCACGCAGGCGGUCUGUCAAGUCGGAUGUGAAAUCCCCGGGCUCAACCUGGGAACUGCAUUCGAAACUGGCAGGCUAGAGUCUUGUAGAGGGGGCUAGAAUUCCAGGUGUAGCGGUGAAAUGCGUAGUGAUCUGGAGGAAUACCGGUGGCGAAGGCGGCCCCCUGGACAAAGACUGACGCUCAGGUGCGAAAGCGUGGGGAGCAAACAGGAUUAGAUACCCCCGUAGUC